AUUGAACGCUGGCGGCAGACCUAACACAUGCAAGUCGAACGGUAACAGGAAACAGCUUGCUGUUUCGCUGACGAGUGGCGGACGGGUGAGUAAUGUCUGGGAAACUGCCUGAUGGCGGGGGAUAACUACUGGAAACGGUAGCUAAUACCGCAUAACGUCGCAAGACCAAAGAGGGGGACCUUCGGGCCUCUUGCUAUCGGAUGUGCCCAGAUGGGAUUAGCUAGUAGGUGGGGUAACGGCUCACCUAGGCGACGAUCCCUAGCUGGUCUGAGAGGAUGACCAGCCACACUGGAACUGAGACACGGUCCAGACUCCUACGGGAGGCAGCAGGGGGGAAUAUUGCACAAUGGGCGCAAGCCUGAUGCAGCCAUGCCGCGUGUAUGAAGAAGGCCUUCGGGUUGUAAAGUACUUUCGGCGGGGAGGAAAGGAGUAAAGUUAAUACCUUUACUCAUUGACGUUACCCGCAGAAGAAGCACCGGCUAACUCCGUG
This 490-nucleotide ribosomal RNA is filed under the name uncultured bacterium. Its description in RNAcentral is "partial 16S ribosomal RNA". It matches the Rfam family "Bacterial small subunit ribosomal RNA", at positions 30 to 507 of the family's 1533-position model. The record is from RNAcentral.